This is a long non-coding RNA of Helianthus annuus (common sunflower), 2071 nucleotides long. RefSeq lists it as uncharacterized. Lineage: Eukaryota; Viridiplantae; Streptophyta; Magnoliopsida; Asterales; Asteraceae. The transcript is spliced from 6 exons. The record is from RefSeq and is a predicted model, not a curated record.
ACACUGAUGUGUGUUGUAGUCGACCAGGAGCAAGACCAAAGGGGGAAAACCCUAACUUUCACAAAAUCUCAAGAUUAGGAAGAUAAUAAGAGCCCAAAAUAAUGCAUGAACUCGAAUUUUCAACCAUCUAAGCUUGUUCAUCAAAAGGCGUGAAGGAAGAAAGCUCGAACACUAGUAAAGCGGGAGGUGUACAAGAUCGAGGUAAAACUCCACUUUAGGCGAUUUGGAGAUAUGGAGCGAGCACGUGUCCACGCUUUAUCAUACCAAGCGCUUCCGCUAGUUAUAUGCACACUUUUUGGGUCCAUGUCUUGUUAUUUUGUUUAAUCUUGUUAGAAGUCAUACACCUAAAAACUUGUUGUCUUGUUGUGGAAAGUUUAAAGUUAAAAUGGGUUGUAGAUUGUCGUUAGUUUAAUAUGUUCAAAACAGGGGGCAUGUUCGUUUUACGAACGGGUCAUGCCCAAUUUUUGUAAAAAUUUCGUUAUGCAUCAAAUUUGGUAUUUUGAUGUCUUUAAAUUCUUUUUGUAAGUAAUAUGAUUUUAUUAUGAAAAAGCGGACCUUACAUCUUUUGAGCUAUAUUUACACUUCACUGAAAAAGUUCUGAUUAUGAAUCUUUUAUUUGAAACUCUAGUUCUUUUUUUAAUUUUUUUUUUGACGUGUUCAUCAUGCUUAAAAAAUAUUUGAGUUGUUUUUUCAAAACGAUUACACACUACACAUGUCAAAGCUGAUAUAACACAAGAUAUCGUUAAUGCAAAAUUACAUAUAAUAUAGACUAUAGUUAGAAUGAUCAUAACUUAACGUGUAUCAUCAGGUUGAAAAUAUGAAAGCUUUACUAGAAACUGAGGCGAGACUUUGAUUUUGUAAUAAUGUGAUGUGUCAUAUCACUGUGACAGUAUGGCUAUGAGUUUGUAAUUCUGACCGGUUUAUAUAUGAAUGGGUAGAUUUGGGUUAUGGAUUUUUUUUAAGGGAAAUCAAAAGAUUUAGCUAAAAGAAAAGUGUGUCAAAUUGGAGGUUUAGUGCUUAUAGCCUCCUAAAGCAUGUUAUUUCAAAAAAUUUGAUCAUAGUAAUAAGUUUUUAUUUAUGAUUAUGUUUGAGGCAUUAGCUACUAUUAUAUUAGACACAUAAAUGUAUGCAGUUCAACCCGCGUAGACCCGUAUGAAAAACAUGAACCCGUUUGACACUUUACAGUAUAUAUGGUCACACUCGUCUUGGUCAAGUACAGACGUCUUAUUCAUGUGAAACCGUUUCGAUCAGAUUGGCAUAAGUAGUGCGUAACAGCCUUAUUAUAAUUAUGUGGCCCACGUUAUGGAUCUACGUCGAGAUAGAAAAUGGCACUUACCAGAAGCCUUUAACUUUUUACGGAUCGCACACCAGCUACAAUCAUCAUAAUAUCCAGGAUCCUUCAUCUCACAUUUUCCACGGGUUGUUCCAAGCAACCAUCGUAUCACAGCAGUCCUGAAUAUUAUACACAACAGCGGCAACUGAUCCUUGACAUUGUGGGCCACGGGUGCCAACAUGCUCAAAGAUUGCCCACUGCCCGUUCUGGAUGUUUACCGGGUACUCCCCAACUACAUGUCCUUGCCAAUCGUGUGCAGUCACAUAGGUUAUAGGGUCCUGUGGCGUUGUAAACUCUGCCAAAUGUGGUGCUAACAGUGGCGACAUUGGCCCCUCCUGCAGCGGCUUUCUGAGACUGGGUUGAAACUUGCAACACCUGGUCGAGCUUGCCAUCUGCGUUUUGGUAGUUCUUGGCGGCUUGGGCCCUUUGGGUACGAGUUCCUUGAGUUAUUGGCUUGCCAAACACACGAACUGCGGUUGUUGCCAUUGUUUAGAUUGAAAGGGUAAUAGAGAGUAAGUGAUUGUUUGGUUGUCUUGGAUAUCUAUGUCAUGCGCGAGCCCCUAUAUAUAAGGGUCCCUGCGGGUAAAUCUUUUUCCGUAACUGCAUGAUUUGAAGGUGUAUAUAUUCCUUAUUUUGCUUAAUUUUAAAGCCAUGUAUAUAUUGUGAAUGCAUGUCACAAUCUUUGUCAUUGUCAUCAUCGACAAGCUUAAUAGUCAUUAUACUCUAGUGUUCCUUUUU